Non-coding RNA from Hydra vulgaris (swiftwater hydra), 444 nucleotides. The record is from RefSeq and is a predicted model, not a curated record. Lineage: Eukaryota; Metazoa; Cnidaria; Hydrozoa; Anthoathecata; Hydridae.
UAUAGAUACUUAACUGUAAAAAAGGUGCAUAUAGAUAUAGCGCCAAACUAACCAAUAUAACAAAUAUGUUGAAAUGAGAUAGUUAAAUGCAAAUUUUAAAAGUCUUUAACAAAAGCAGCAACAUCAAGCAAAAUAAAAGUCAGUGCUCUUAUUGUUGGCACUUAAACAUCCAUACAAGCAAUCAAAGUGCAGGUACUAAACACAGGUUUCUUUUUCCAAAUGGACCAUAAAGAGAGAACAACUGCUUGGGUAAAAAAAAGCACAAGAAUUCAAUAUGAUAUUUCCAAGUCAUUGACAAAGCUUCGCAAGUUGUUAAGAUUUUCAUCGAUAAAUUUACGCAAGUUGUUAAAGUUUUCAUCGAUAAAGUUACGCAAGUUAGAACAUUAUCAAUAAAAAGUAAAAGCAUAUUGCAAAGAAAUAGUUUUUUUUAGAAGUUUUAUGAAA